Molecule: ribosomal RNA, 497 nt
Filed under: uncultured bacterium
Lineage: Bacteria
Description: partial 16S ribosomal RNA
Rfam family: Bacterial small subunit ribosomal RNA
Source: RNAcentral
GAUGAACGCUAGCUGCGUGCCUAAUACAUGCAAGUCGCGCGAACAGACGAGGAUCUUUCUCCUCUGACGUUAGCGGCGGACGGGUGAGUAACACGUGGAUAACCUACCUAUCAGACUGGGAUAACUUCGGGGAACCGGAGCUAAUACCUGCUAAUUUAUUUAACCUCAUGGUUUCAUAGUUAAAGACGGUUUUGCUGUCACUUAUAGAUGGAUCCGCGCCGCAUUCGAUAGUUGGUAAGGUAACGGCUUACCAAGGCGACGAUGCGUAGCCGACCUGAGAGGGUGGUAAGCCACACCGGAACGGAGACAAGGUCCAGACUCGUACGGGAGGCAGCAGUAGGGAAACUACCGCAAGGGGCGAAAGCCAGACGGGGAAAAGCCGAGUGAGGGAUAAAGGGAUGCGGAUAGUAAAACUCUGUUACUAGGGAGGAACAAAUGAGUAAGUAACUAGGCACGUCUUGAAGGUACCGAAUCAGAAAGGCACGGCUAAUUACGUG